RNAcentral lists this transfer RNA (72 nucleotides) under Minisyncoccota bacterium. RNAcentral's name for it is "tRNA-Phe". It matches the Rfam family "tRNA". Rfam says of the family: Transfer RNA (tRNA) molecules are approximately 80 nucleotides in length. Their secondary structure includes four short double-helical elements and three loops (D, anti-codon, and T loops). The record is from RNAcentral. Lineage: Bacteria; Bacillati; Minisyncoccota.
GCCGGGGUAGCUCAGUGGUAGAGCACAUCUCUGAAAAAGAUGGGGUCGUGGGUUCAAUUCCCUCUCCCGGCA